GUGCUUGUUUCAGCACCACACAUGCUAAAAUUGGAAUGGCACAGAUUAGCAUGGCCCCUGUGUAAGGAUGACACACAAAUUCAUGAAGUAUUUCAUAUUUUU
Molecule: small nuclear RNA, 102 nt
Organism: Sorex fumeus (smoky shrew)
Lineage: Eukaryota; Metazoa; Chordata; Mammalia; Eulipotyphla; Soricidae
Source: RefSeq, a predicted model, not a curated record